This 84-nucleotide transfer RNA is filed under the name Streptomyces collinus. RNAcentral's name for it is "tRNA-Gly". Lineage: Bacteria; Bacillati; Actinomycetota; Actinomycetes; Kitasatosporales; Streptomycetaceae. RNAcentral also lists the same sequence under 1 other name. The record is from RNAcentral.
ACGUCACUUGGCAAGUCGGACGGGAUCGCGGUCCGGUUGCCGCCCGGGGGCGAGGGUGGCGCAGAUCACAGCCGCGGCGAUGCC